GUUUCUGACCUAUCAGCUUUCGACGGUAAGGUAUUGGCUUACCGUGGCAGUGACGGUUAACGGGGAAUUAGGGUUCAAUUCCGGAGAGGGAGCCUGAGAAACGGCUACCACAUCUAAGGAAGGCAGCAGGCGCGCAAAUUACCCAAUUCUAACAGCAUAAGAGAGGUAGUGACAAGAAAUAACAGUACAAGGCAGUUAAAAUGCUUUGUAAUUGGAAUGAUAGAAAUUUAAAUACUUUUUAAAGUAUCAAUUGGAGGGCAAGUCUGGUGCCAGCAGCCGCGGUAAUUCCAGCUCCAAUAGCGUAUAUUAAAAUUGUUGCAGUUAAAAAGCUCGUAGUUGAAUUUUUGCUAAAAAUAACCGGUCUGCUAUUAUUACUAAAAGUGGUAUCUUGGUGUGUUUUUAGCAAUAAUGUCCUUUGAAAUGUUUUUUACUUUAAUGUAAAAAGCAAUUUUCAGGAUUUUUACUUUGAGAAAAUUAGAGUGUUUCAAGCAGGCUAACGUUUUGAAUACUGCAGCAUGGAAUAAUAAAUUAGGAUUUUAGUUCUACGUUAUUGGUUUUAAGAGCUAAAUUAAUGAUUGAUAGGAGCAGUUGGGGGCAUUUGUAUUUAACUGUCAGAGGUGAAAUU
Molecule: ribosomal RNA, 625 nt
Filed under: Hepatozoon sp.
Lineage: Eukaryota; Apicomplexa; Hepatozoidae
Description: bacterial SSU rRNA
Rfam family: Eukaryotic small subunit ribosomal RNA
Source: RNAcentral